RNAcentral lists this unclassified non-coding RNA (207 nucleotides) under Sorghum bicolor (sorghum). The record is from RNAcentral. Lineage: Eukaryota; Viridiplantae; Streptophyta; Magnoliopsida; Poales; Poaceae.
UCGUGACCCUUAAACAAAACAGACCGUGAACAUGUCUCUCAUGUCGUCGAGCUUUGGCUCGGCACAAGGUCCCCUUGCUCCAACCUGGGGCAGAGGGGCCACAAAAGAACCCACGGCGCCUUAGGCGUCAAGGAACACUCAUGUUGCCUUGCACAGCGGAGUGGUCGGCAUGCCUUCCGCUCCCUGAGCAGCGAUGAUAUCUUAAUC